This 439-nucleotide ribosomal RNA is filed under the name uncultured bacterium. RNAcentral's name for it is "bacterial SSU rRNA". It matches the Rfam family "Bacterial small subunit ribosomal RNA", at positions 959 to 1397 of the family's 1533-position model. The record is from RNAcentral.
ACGCGAGGAACCUUACCAGGUCUUGACAUCCCGCUGACCGGUCUGGAGACAGAUCUUCCCCUUCGGGGGCAGCGGUGACAGGUGGUGCAUGGUUGUCGUCAGCUCGUGUCGUGAGAUGUUGGGUUAAGUCCCGCAACGAGCGCAACCCUUGAUCUUAGUUGCCAUCAUUUAGUUGGGCACUCUAAGGAGACUGCCGGUGACAAACCGGAGGAAGGUGGGGAUGACGUCAAAUCAUCAUGCCCCUUAUGACCUGGGCUACACACGUGCUACAAUGGACGGUACAAACGGUUGCCAACCCGCGAGGGGGAGCUAAUCCGAUAAAACCGUUCUCAGUUCGGAUUGUAGGCUGCAACUCGCCUACAUGAAGCCGGAAUCGCUAGUAAUCGCGGAUCAGCAUGCCGCGGUGAAUACGUUCCCGGGCCUUGCACACACCGCCCGU